AUUUUAGUGAAUGGAUAUAGUAGUGUAAGCUAGCUGUUUUACGACAGAGGGUUCAAAAACUACUAUAGGUAGGCAGUGGUUGCCGACCUCUCAUAUUGUUCAAAACGUAUGUGUUCAUAUGAUUUUGGCAAUUAUAUGAGUAAAUUAAAUCAUAUACAUAUGAAAAUAAAUAUUUAUUAUAUGUAUAUGGAAAAAUGUUGAAAUAUUCCCAUAUUCUGGGAUAUUCAUAAUAUUAAAAAAUAAAUGAAAAACAUUAUCUCACAUUUGAAUGUGAAAAACGAAGAGAAAUAUUUUCUUUUUCAAUCAAAUAAUACUGAGAAAUGUCUAGCAUAAAAAAUUGAAAUAUUUUUCAUCUAGAAUUGUCUCUUAUUAAUGAUUCGGAAAUAGAAAAAUCUUGGUUAUGUUAUUAUUCUUCGUUGGUUCGUUAAAAAUGGAUAAAUAAAAACUUUGCAUACAAGAAUUAAUAAAAAUGUUAUAACGAAUUUAAUUAAAUGUUUUAUCAUUAUAUAUAAAGAAUUUAUGGCAAGAUAAAGUUAUAUACAACCUCAACUCAUAUGGGACUACCCCUGAAUUUAAGCAUAUUAAUUAGGGGAGGAAAAGAAACUAACAAGGAUUUUCUUAGUAGCGGCGAGCGAAAAGAAAAGUUCAGCACUAAGUCACUUUGUCUAUAUGGCAAAUGUGAGAUGCAGUGUAUGGAGCGUCAAUAUUCUAGUAUGAGAAAUUAACGAUUUAAGUCCUUCUUAAAUGAGGCCAUUUACCCAUAGAGGGUGCCAGGCCCGUAUAACGUUAAUGAUUACUAGAUGAUGUUUCCAAAGAGUCGUGUUGCUUGAUAGUGCAGCACUAAGUGGGUGGUAAACUCCAUCUAAAACUAAAUAUAACCAUGAGACCGAUAGUAAACAAGUACCGUGAGGGAAAGUUGAAAAGAACUCUGAAUAGAGAGUUAAACAGUACGUGAAACUGCUUAGAGGUUAAGCCCGAUGAACCUGAAUAUCCGUUAUGGAAAAUUCAUCAUUAAAAUUGUAAUAUUUAAAUAAUAUUAUGAGAAUAGUGUGCAUUUUUUCCAUAUAAGGACAUUGUAAUCUAUUAGCAUAUACCAAAUUUAUCAUAAAAUAUAACUUAUAGUUUAUUCCAAUUAAAUUGCUUGCAUUUUAACACAGAAUAAAUGUUAUUAAUUUGAUAAAGUGCUGAUAGAUUUAUAUGAUUACAGUGCGUUAAUUUUUCGGAAUUAUAUAAUGGCAUAAUUAUCAUUGAUUUUUGUGUUAUUAUAUGCACUUGUAUGAUUAACAAUGCGAAAGAUUCAGGAUACCUUCGGGACCCGUCUUGAAACACGGACCAAGGAGUCUAACAUAUGUGCAAGUUAUUGGGAUAUAAACCUAAUAGCGUAAUUAAUUGACUAAUAAUGGGAUUAGUUUUUUAGCUAUUUAUAGCUAAUUAACACAAUCCCGGGCGUUCUAUAUAGUUAUGUAUAAUGUAUAUUUAUAUUAUUUAUGCCUCUAACUGGAACGUACCUUGAGCAUAUAUGCUGUGACCCGAAAGAUGGUGAACUAUACUUGAUCAGGUUGAAGUCAGGGGAAACCCUGAUGGAAGACCGAAACAGUUCUGACGUGCAAAUCGAUUGUCAGAAUUGAGUAUAGGGGCGAAAGACCAAUCGAACCAUCUAGUAGCUGGUUCCUUCCGAAGUUUCCCUCAGGAUAGCUGGUGCAUUUUAAUAUUAUAUAAAAUAAUCUUAUCUGGUAAAGCGAAUGAUUAGAGGCCUUAGGGUCGAAACGAUCUUAACCUAUUCUCAAAACUUUAAAUGGGUAAGAACCUUAACUUUCUUGAUAAUGAAGUUCAAGGUUAUGAUAUAAUGUGCCAGUGGGCCACUUUUGGUAAGCAGAACUGGCGCUGUGGGAUGAACCAAACGUAAUGUUACGGUGCCCAAAUUAACAACUCAUGCAGAUACCAUGAAAGGCGUUGGUUGCUUAAAACAGCAGGACGGUGAUCAUGGAAGUCGAAAUCCGCUAAGGAGUGUGUAACAACUCACCUGCCGAAGCAACUAGCCUUAAAAUGGAUGGCGCUUAAGUUGUAUACCUAUACAUUACCGCUAAAGUAGAUGAUUUAUAUUACUUGUGAUAUAAAUUUGAAACUUUAGUGAGUAGGAAGGUACAAUGGUAUGCGUAGAAGUGUUUGGCGUAAGCCUGCAUGGAGCUGCCAUUGGUACAGAUCUUUGGUGUAGUAGCAAAUAAUCGAAUGAGACCUUGGAGGACUGAAGUGGAGAAGGGUUUCGUGUGAACAGUGGUUGAUCACGAGUUAGUCGGUCCUAAGUUCAAGGCGAAAGCCGAAAAUUUUCAAGUAAAAACAAAAAUGCCUAACUAUAUAAACAAAGCGAAUUAUAAUACACUUGAAUAAUUUUGAACGAAAGGGAAUACGGUUCCAAUUCCGUAACCUGUUGAGUAUCCGUUUGUUAUUAAAUAUGGGCCUCGUGCUCAUCCUGGCAACAGGAACGACCAUAAAGAAGCCGUCGAGAGAUAUCGGAAGAGUUUUCUUUUCUGUUUUAUAGCCGUACUACCAUGGAAGUCUUUCGCAGAGAGAUAUGGUAGAUGGGGCUAGAAGAGCAUGACAUAUACUGUUGUGUCGAUAUUUUCUCCUCGGACCUUGAAAAUUUAUGGUGGGGACACGCAAACUUCUCACAGGCCGUACCAAUAUCCGCAGCUGGUCUCCAAGGUGAAGAGUCUCUAGUCGAUAGAAUAAUGUAGGUAAGGGAAGUCGGCAAAUUAGAUCCGUAACUUCGGGAUAAGGAUUGGCUCUGAAGAUUGAGAUAGUCGGGCUUGAUUGGGAAACAAUAACAUGGUUUAUGUGCUCGUUCUGGGUAAAUAGAGUUUCUAGCAUUUAUGUUAGUUACUUGUUCCCCGGAUAGUUUAGUUACGUAGCCAAUUGUGGAACUUUCUUGCCUAAAAUUUUUAAGAAUACUAUUUGGGUUAAACCAAUUAGUUCUUAUUAAUUAUAACGAUUAUCAAUUAACAAUCAAUUCAGAACUGGCACGGACUUGGGGAAUCCGACUGUCUAAUUAAAACAAAGCAUUGUGAUGGCCCUAGCGGGUGUUGACACAAUGUGAUUUCUGCCCAGUGCUCUGAAUGUCAAAGUGAAGAAAUUCAAGUAAGCGCGGGUCAACGGCGGGAGUAACUAUGACUCUCUUAAGGUAGCCAAAUGCCUCGUCAUCUAAUUAGUGACGCGCAUGAAUGGAUUAACGAGAUUCCUACUGUCCCUAUCUACUAUCUAGCGAAACCACAGCCAAGGGAACGGGCAUUAAUGCUCCGGUGUGGAGAACUGGAGACGCGGCUCGCUAUGCCACCACCGCCGCCGCCGCCGUCCAAGGCGAACACUACUGCCGCCAAUGCUCCCCAGAUGCCUCAGGUUGCACCCAUCGCUGCCCCGCGGACAACCAAGGUUCGUGAGACGUGGUCAGCGGUGGUGAAGUGCGACGACCCUGCGCUAUCGGGGAAAGCCAUAGCCGAAAAAGGUGCGGACGAUGGUUGCACCCUCCCUCGGAGUCAGAGUACACGAGGUACGUGAGCUCCGUCGAGGUGGUGGUGCGAUCAUUCGUACUCCUUCGGUUGGAGAGCUGGCAGAAGGUGAUGGCAUCGAAAAGAUUCGCAGAACUUGGACUGAAUGUGGCACGGAACGCGGCCGAGAAGCCGAAGGUCAUAGUCUAUGACGUCGACACAGCCAUCGGCCCAGAAGAGUUCAUGCAGGAGCUUCACGAGAACAACUUCGACAGUGAAAUGACUCUGGCCCAGUUCAAAAAGUCGGUGCACCUGGUGACCAAGGCGUGGUCGGCUACUGACGGUGCCACCGUAAACGUGACGCUAGAGGUAGACGACCGGGCGAUGGCGAAACUUGAUGUAGGACGUGUCUACAUUAAGUGGUUUUCGUUCCGAUGCCGAUCGCAAGUCCGCACCUAUGCCUGCCACAGAUGUGUGGGUUUCGACCACAAGGUUAGUGAAUGCAGGCAGAAGGAGAGUGUUUGCCGCCAGUGCGGGCAACAAGGCCACACCGCGGCAAAGUGCCAAAACCCGGUGGACUGCCGGAACUGCCGUCACAGAGGGCAACCUUCGGGGCAUUAUAUGCUCUCGAAUGCUUGCCCGAUAUACGGAGCGUUGUUAGCGAGGGUGCAAGCUAGACACUAAUGUUUAGCUUCAUCCAAGCGA
This 4187-nucleotide ribosomal RNA is filed under the name Drosophila melanogaster (fruit fly). RNAcentral describes it as "eukaryotic LSU rRNA". The stretch from base 541 to 3428 matches the Rfam family "Eukaryotic large subunit ribosomal RNA". Lineage: Eukaryota; Metazoa; Arthropoda; Insecta; Diptera; Drosophilidae. The record is from RNAcentral.